RNAcentral lists this ribosomal RNA (502 nucleotides) under uncultured bacterium. Its description in RNAcentral is "partial 16S ribosomal RNA". It matches the Rfam family "Bacterial small subunit ribosomal RNA", at positions 29 to 523 of the family's 1533-position model. The record is from RNAcentral.
AUUGAACGCUGGCGGCAUGCCUUACACAUGCAAGUCGAACGGCAGCACGGGUGCUUGCACCUGGUGGCGAGUGGCGAACGGGUGAGUAAUGCAUCGGAACGUACCCGGAAGUGGGGGAUAACGUAGCGAAAGUUACGCUAAUACCGCAUAUUCUGUGAGCAGGAAAGCGGGGGAUCGCAAGACCUCGCGCUUCCGGAGCGGCCGAUGUCGGAUUAGCUAGUUGGCGGGGUAAAGGCCCACCAAGGCAACGAUCCGUAGCGGGUCUGAGAGGAUGAUCCGCCACACUGGGACUGAGACACGGCCCAGACUCCUACGGGAGGCAGCAGUGGGGAAUUUUGGACAAUGGGGGCAACCCUGAUCCAGCCAUGCCGCGUGAGUGAAGAAGGCCUUCGGGUUGUAAAGCUCUUUCGGCUGGGAAGAAAUCGCAUCUCCUAAUACGGGGUAUGGAUGACGGUACCAGCAUAAGAAGCACCGGCUAACUACGUGCCAGCCGCCGCCGUAA